Solanum tuberosum (potato) is the source of this 519-nucleotide long non-coding RNA. RefSeq lists it as uncharacterized. NCBI's taxonomy places the organism in Eukaryota, Viridiplantae, Streptophyta, Magnoliopsida, Solanales, Solanaceae. The record is from RefSeq and is a predicted model, not a curated record. The transcript has 4 exons.
UCCCUCAAAACCCAAGUGGUCUCUCAUAUUGUGAAACCGCCUCACGCUCACAUACGCCGCUAGUCGUCGCAGCUCGCAGCUCGCCGCCGCCGCAGCUCGGGUACAAUUUAAUUGAAGGUUCCAAUCUUUGACGCCGUCGAGCAAACUACUGCCAACCCUUCCAUCUCCAUCCCUAAUUAAAAAAAGUUGAGAUACAUGUAUUCAGGAUCGACAGUAGACGCUUCGUUGAGAUCCUCUCCAUCAGCUUUUGAAUCGUGUUGUCAUCAAGAUCACUUUCUUCUCCUUUCAUCCAAAACCUCGUUAUGGAUCAAGUUAUGGCUGCUAUUAUCAGAAAUCGGUCAUUUGAGGCUUCAAUUCUCCAACCCAUUUGGACUGUAGAAACAGUUUCUCAAGUCUUAAGAUCAAUCCCCAGAUUCCUCUUCCAAUCCCCAAGAUCCAUUGGCCGACAAAAUGGGUUUCGCCACCGUACCCCAUUAAAGCAGAGAAACCUAAAACAAGAGUUCCAUAACGCUCGGAAGG